Molecule: ribosomal RNA, 1026 nt
Filed under: uncultured bacterium
Lineage: Bacteria
Description: bacterial SSU rRNA
Rfam family: Bacterial small subunit ribosomal RNA
Source: RNAcentral
CCUACGGGAGGCAGCAGUGAGGAAUAUUGGUCAAUGGGCGCAAGCCUGAACCAGCCAUCCCGCGUGCAGGAUGAAGGCCCUAUGGGUCGUAAACUGCUUUUAUACACCAAGAAAAACACCCACGUGUGGGUGCCCGACGGUAGUGUAUGAAUAAGCAUCGGCUAACUCCGUGCCAGCAGCCGCGGUAAUACGGAGGAUGCAAGCGUUAUCCGGAUUCAUUGGGUUUAAAGGGUGCGUAGGCGGCUUUUUAAGUCAGUGGUGAAAUCUUGCCGCUUAACGGUAAAAUUGCCAUUGAUACUGAUAAGCUUGAGUACAAUUGAGGUAAGCGGAAUGUGUAGUGUAGCGGUGAAAUGCUUAGAUAUUACACAGAACACCGAUUGCGAAGGCAGCUUACUAAACUGUUACUGACGCUGAUGCACGAAAGCGUGGGGAGCGAACAGGAUUAGAUACCCUGGUAGUCCACGCCGUAAACGAUGAUCACUCGCUGUAUGCGAUACACAGUAUGCGGCCAAGCGAAAGCAUUAAGUGAUCCACCUGGGGAGUACGAUCGCAAGGUUGAAACUCAAAGGAAUUGACGGGGGCCCGCACAAGCGGAGGAACAUGUGGUUUAAUUCGAUGAUACGCGAGGAACCUUACCUGGGCUCGAACGUGGAAUGACAGUCGCGGAAACGUGAUCUUCUUCGGACAUUCUACGAGGUGCUGCAUGGUUGUCGUCAGCCCGUGCCGUGAGGUGUCAGGUUAGGUCCUAUAACGAGCGCAACCCCUACACUUAGUUGCCAGCAUGUCAUGAUGGGGACUCUAAGUGGACUGCCAGCGCAAGCUGUGAGGAAGGUGGGGAUGACGUCAAAUCAGCACGGCCCUUACGUCUAGGGCGACACACGUGCUACAAUGGCCGAUACAGAGGGCAGCUACAUAGUGAUAUGAUGCGAAUCUCAAAAGUCGGUCUCAGUUCGGAUCGGAGUCUGCAACCCGACUCCGUGAAGUUGGAUUCGCUAGUAAUCGCAGAUCGGCCAUGCUGCGGUGAAU